UGCGCAAAACGAAUACAAGCCUAAUGUUUACAUCUGACCAAAAAAGUUACUAAAUGUCAAACGCCAACAUAAAAUUUAUUAUUGAGACUACAUCCAAUUGUGUGAUGAUAAUAACUCAACUAAGAAGAGUGAGUUAUGAAACGCUGAUAAUCGAUCGAACAGAACUAGUUCACCUUUCUUCAAUUCCUCGUUAACACGAAAUUGAACUUUUGAAAGACUUGGAAUCAUAAUAAUUAUUGUCGCUGGCACAAUUACUAAUAAAGUAAAAUAAAUUACCUAUCAAAACAGUUGGCACAAUAUUUGUAUAAAAAAAACCAUGAGAUCCUACUAGUGCAGCGUCCCAUUGAAUGGUUGAAAACGUUGGUUGAUGUCCAGUACCAUAGAAAAAAUAUUCAGCAAUCAAAAACCAACAAAAAAUUGCUGAAUUUGGAAUUUGAAGAAGCUCCGCUAUUAUGAAAUAAAAAAUGAUAAUCAUUGCAACUAUUACUGUAAAGUGUUUUGUAAAAUAAAAAACUUACUAAAAUCA
Cotesia glomerata is the source of this 526-nucleotide long non-coding RNA. RefSeq lists it as uncharacterized. NCBI's taxonomy places the organism in Eukaryota, Metazoa, Arthropoda, Insecta, Hymenoptera, Braconidae. The record is from RefSeq and is a predicted model, not a curated record. The transcript is spliced from 3 exons.